UCUCCGUAGGUGAACCUGCGGAGGGAUCAUUACAGAGUUCAUGCCCUACCGGGUAGAUCUCCCACCCUAUGUUAUUAUUACUUUGUUGCUUUGGCGGGCCGUUAGGCUCCGGCCCGACUACCGGCCCCGGCUGUUAGCGCCCGCCAGAGGACCCAAAACCCUGAAUAUUAGUGUCGUCUGAGUACUAUAUAAUAGUUAAAACUUUCAACAACGGAUCUCUUGGUUCUG
RNAcentral lists this unclassified non-coding RNA (228 nucleotides) under plant metagenome. RNAcentral's name for it is "partial contains small subunit ribosomal RNA, internal transcribed spacer 1, and 5.8S ribosomal RNA". The record is from RNAcentral.